Molecule: long non-coding RNA, 578 nt
Filed under: Ananas comosus (pineapple)
Lineage: Eukaryota; Viridiplantae; Streptophyta; Magnoliopsida; Poales; Bromeliaceae
Description: long non-coding RNA (ACOM_LNC017612)
Source: RNAcentral
AAUAGAAGAUGAGAGAAAGCAGAUGGAAAAAAUCCUAUAUGCGAAUGCAGUCGGCAGGUUGAUGUAUGCAAUGAUGUGUGUUGGAAAAUCUUUCUGAUAUUUUAUUACAAAGAGAGAGAGAGAGAGAGAGAGAGAGAGAGAGAGAGAGAGAGAGAGUGAGAGUGAGAGUGAGAAUGAGUGAGGCCGGCAUGCUUUUGGAAGCACGAAGCCCUCUGUGCUUCCAAGUCGUUUUCGAUAUUGGGACUUUCGAAUCAACGAUCGGCUCCAUUAGACUUGAUGUAGAAUAUUUGAAGUACCUAGAAAAUAAAUUUUGUGAUUUUUCGAUAUCAUUUGUCUAGUAAUCGAAAGAGCUCAAAAUCAAAGGCUAAAAUAAAAAUCUUACAAAAUGUGAUGAUAUGAUAUUAAAAUUUUAGAUCAAAGAUAUUGAUCUUGUUUCAUAUAGUAUAAAGAAUUUUUUAUCAAAAUUUCACGCGAUUUGGAUAUUUCUAUACCAUUAAACUUGCAAACGGCUGUCACGCCCCGGGACCCAGCGGAAGCCCGCCCGGCAUGUGUCCAGACCCGCCAGACGUCUAAAACAU